AUAAGUUUGGCAGAAUAUAUGUAUUAGACUUAGAAUCUAAAAAUAAGAAUUAAAUUUUCUUAACUUAUA
This 69-nucleotide transfer RNA is filed under the name Ashinkailepas seepiophila. RNAcentral describes it as "tRNA-Leu". It matches the Rfam family "tRNA". Rfam says of the family: Transfer RNA (tRNA) molecules are approximately 80 nucleotides in length. Their secondary structure includes four short double-helical elements and three loops (D, anti-codon, and T loops). The record is from RNAcentral. RNAcentral also lists the same sequence under 1 other name. Lineage: Eukaryota; Metazoa; Arthropoda; Thecostraca; Neolepadidae.